GUGCAAGUGGAAAUAAGUUCUUGUUUAGCAAUGAAAACAAACAAGUGGUUAUUUGGUGGCCUGCAUCAGUAAGAAAACUUAUAGGAUCUUGUUUGAUUACUACUGUUGGAAAAGAAGCCAAAAUCAUGAGGAAGAUGCUUUCUACUUUUGUUAGUCCUGAUGCUUUUUCUAGACUCUACAUCAAAACCAUGGAACUUGUUGCACACCACCAUUUUAUGAAUUAUUGGCAAGGUACGUAGC
Molecule: unclassified non-coding RNA, 240 nt
Filed under: Hevea brasiliensis (rubber tree)
Lineage: Eukaryota; Viridiplantae; Streptophyta; Magnoliopsida; Malpighiales; Euphorbiaceae
Source: RNAcentral